AUAAUAACAUUUAGGACAAUAGUCAAUCCUUACAUUUUGGGGUUUAUUGACUAAACACUGAAUUUUAGUGUCUUGAAAUGCAAAUUGCAAAUUUAGGUAAAAAUUUUUUUGAUUUGGGCAAAUUCUUCAACUCUGCUUUACUACUUUUAACUAGAGUUGAGCGAACGUUCGGGUUCGUACCGAACAUUACGAUUUUUGGACCCCGAACCAGAACCCAG
Molecule: non-coding RNA, 218 nt
Organism: Pelobates cultripes (western spadefoot toad)
Lineage: Eukaryota; Metazoa; Chordata; Amphibia; Anura; Pelobatidae
Source: the annotation of a GenBank genome assembly